AAGUAAAAGUCGUAACAAGGUUUCCGUAGGUGAACCCUGCGGAAGGAUCAUUACCGAAGUAUCAUAAUGAGUUGUUGCUGUUAUCGUGCACGCUUGUUAUUCUUCAUUUCUCCAUAAUUUGUGCAUCACUUGUGUGGAACCUCUGUCCGAGUUCAUCUCAGACGAUUGGGACUGCUUUGCAAAGUUACUAUUUGCGGGGCUUUCCUUGUAUCUGCAUGUAUUUUCACAUACACCCAAUAUUAGAAGGAAAAAAAAUUUUGAAACGUUAUACAACUUUCAGCAACGGAUCUCUUGGCUCUCGCAUCGAUGAAGAACGCAGCGAAAUGCGAUAAGUAAUGUGAAUUGCAGAAUUCAGUGAAUCAUCGAAUCUUUGAACGCAUCUUGCGCUCCUUGGUAUUCUGAGGAGCAUGCCUGUUUGAGUGUCAUUUUAAUAUCUCAACCACAUUCAUUUUGUGGCUUGGACUUGGAGGAACAAUGCAGGCUCUGACUUCUUGUAGUCUGCUCCUCUGAAAAACAUGAGUGGUACCUAUAUUGGAACUCUGGCUAGGUGUGAUACAUAUCUGCAUCUAAUCUAGGUUGCCUGUCGGGUUAUGCUGCUGAUUAUUAUGACUUGAUAAACUUGACCUCAAAUCAGGUAGGACCACCCGCUGAACUUAAGCAUA
Molecule: ribosomal RNA, 662 nt
Filed under: Inocybe sp. 9938
Lineage: Eukaryota; Fungi; Basidiomycota; Agaricomycetes; Agaricales; Inocybaceae
Description: eukaryotic LSU rRNA
Rfam family: 5.8S ribosomal RNA (bases 272-425)
Source: RNAcentral